CAAAUUUCUGCCCUAUCAACUUUCGAUGGUAGGAUAGUGGCCUACCAUGGUUUUGACGGGUAACGGGGAAUUAGGGUUCUAUUCCGGAGAGGGAGCCUGAGAAACGGCUACCACAUCCAAGGAAGGCAGCAGGCGCGCAAAUUACCCAAUCCCAAUACGGGGAGGUAGUGACAAUAAAUACUGAUACAGGGCUCUUUUGGGUCUUGUAAUUGGAAUGAGAACAAUUUAAAUCCCUUAACGAGGAACAAUUGGAGGGCAAGUCUGGUGCCAGCAGCCGCGGUAAUUCCAGCUCCAAUAGCGUAUAUUAAAGUUGUUGCAGUUAAAAAGCUCGUAGUUGAACCUUGGGCCUGGCUGGCCGGUCCGCUCACCGCGUGCACUUGGUCCGGCCGGGCCUUUCCUUCUGGGGAGCCGCAUGCCCUUUCACUGGGUGUGUCGGGGGAACCAGGACUUUUACUUUGGACAAAUUAGAGUGUUCAAAGCAGGCCUAUGCUCGAAUACCUUAGGCAUGGAAUACUACGAAUAGGACGUGUGGGUC
RNAcentral lists this ribosomal RNA (535 nucleotides) under uncultured fungus. RNAcentral describes it as "SSU rRNA". It matches the Rfam family "Eukaryotic small subunit ribosomal RNA", at positions 300 to 838 of the family's 1831-position model. The record is from RNAcentral. Lineage: Eukaryota; Fungi.